Molecule: long non-coding RNA, 486 nt
Filed under: Amborella trichopoda
Lineage: Eukaryota; Viridiplantae; Streptophyta; Magnoliopsida; Amborellales; Amborellaceae
Description: long non-coding RNA (ATRI_LNC002109)
Source: RNAcentral
UCCGAAUCUUUUAUAGCCACAAUAAAAUCACACAAUCUUUUAUAGCCACAAUAAAAUCACCUAUUUUUUUAUUAGCCAAAGUUUUAGUCUCUUUUUUUAUUAGCUAAGGUUUUACUAUCCAAUGUCAAAUCUUUUAUAGCGAUAACAAAAUCACCCAUUUGGGUAAGGUUUUACUAUACAAUGUUUUACUAUCCUAAAGGGUUUUACUGCCCAUAGUAAAGUGUCUGGACAAGGUUUUACUCGUCAUACCAACUCAAGUAUUAUAACAAGAGACUCUCUCUCAAAACAAAACUGAUUCUCUAUCUUUGUUUAUGUUGUGUGAUAUGUUGGAAUUCAAUAUCUUAUUAACUUCUAAUCUCAUCAUUUUCUCAAAUCCUUUGGCUAAAUGAAGGUUUCCAAAUAUAACCAACUGUAGAUAUUUGAAUGACACUGUUGGAAAAAUUAAUUUGUAACCUCGACGUUUUCUCAAUUAAUUUUAAGAUUGGC